UACGAAGGGGGCUAGCGUUGUUCGGAAUUACUGGGCGUAAAGGGCGCGUAGGCGGUGUGUCAAGUCAGGCGUGAAAGCCCCGGGCUCAACCUGGGAACCGCGCUUGAGACUGGCACGCUCGAGUUCGGGAGAGGAUGGUGGAAUUCCCAGUGUAGAGGUGAAAUUCGUAGAUAUUCGGAAGAACACCAGUGGCGAAGGCGGCUUACUGGCCCAUUACUGACGCUGAGGCUCGAAAGCGUGGGGAGCAAACAGG
RNAcentral lists this ribosomal RNA (253 nucleotides) under uncultured bacterium. RNAcentral's name for it is "partial 16S ribosomal RNA". It matches the Rfam family "Bacterial small subunit ribosomal RNA", at positions 524 to 776 of the family's 1533-position model. The record is from RNAcentral.